UUAACGAUGCAGGUACCCGCAAGGGUCUCACAGAGAAUCCGGUUAAAUACCGGAGCGGUCACGCCGCUGUAAGGAUGAGCAAAUCGUGAAAGCCAUUGGGAAUAUAUCCUGAGAAGGUACGAUAGGCAAGGAAUCCGAGCCAGAAGAACUGCCUGCAUG
This 159-nucleotide non-coding RNA is filed under the name human gut metagenome. The record is from RNAcentral.